Molecule: non-coding RNA, 143 nt
Organism: Gossypium hirsutum (cotton)
Lineage: Eukaryota; Viridiplantae; Streptophyta; Magnoliopsida; Malvales; Malvaceae
Source: Rfam
UGUUAAAAAUUUCAUCCACUUAUACUAUUAAAAAUUGACGUAGCUAAUGGAAUAAGUAAACAAUAACACAUGGCGUACCACAUGUACCUCCGUAAGGUACAAGGACCAAUUUUUAACCAUAAAAGUGGAUGAAAUUUUUAACA